Molecule: non-coding RNA, 180 nt
Organism: Oryza brachyantha (malo sina)
Lineage: Eukaryota; Viridiplantae; Streptophyta; Magnoliopsida; Poales; Poaceae
Source: Rfam
AAUAAACCAAUUUUUCACAUUUUACCUUCAAUUUUUGACUCUUCGUCUUAUUAAAAAAAUUUUGCGAUUGAUAUUUUUGUUUUUAUUAGAUGAUAAAUCAUGAAUAGUAUUUUUUGUUAGAUGACUAAAAUAAGAUGGAUGGUCAAACGUUGGACACGGAAACCAGAGAAUUCGUUUUUU